This 504-nucleotide ribosomal RNA is filed under the name uncultured bacterium. RNAcentral's name for it is "bacterial SSU rRNA". It matches the Rfam family "Bacterial small subunit ribosomal RNA", at positions 9 to 507 of the family's 1533-position model. The record is from RNAcentral.
GAGUUUGAUCAUGGCUCAGAACGAACGCUGGCGGCGCGCCUAAUACAUGCAAGUCGAGCGAGAAGGUGUAGCAAUACACUUGUAAAGCGGCGAACGGGUGAGGAAUGCAUGGGUAACCUACCCUCGAGUGGGGAAUAACUAGCCGAAAGGUUAGCUAAUACCGCAUACGUUUCCGGAACUUCGGUUUCGGAAAGAAAGCAAUACCGUGGGUAUUGCGCUCCUGGAUAGGCUCAUGUCCUAUCAGCUUGUUGGUGAGGUAACGGCUCACCAAGGCUUCGACGGGUAGCUGGUCUGAGAGGACGAUCAGCCACACUGGCACUGCGACACGGGCCAGACUCCUACGGGAGGCAGCAGUAAGGAAUAUUGCGCAAUGGACGAAAGUCUGACGCAGCGACGCCGCGUGGGGGAUGAAGGUCUUCGGAUUGUAAACCCCUUUCGGGAGGGAAGAUGGAGUGGGUAACCACUUGGACGGUACCUCCAGAAGCAGCCACGGCUAACUUCGUG